This 303-nucleotide ribosomal RNA is filed under the name uncultured bacterium. RNAcentral describes it as "partial 16S ribosomal RNA". It matches the Rfam family "Bacterial small subunit ribosomal RNA", at positions 507 to 807 of the family's 1533-position model. The record is from RNAcentral.
AGCAGUCGCCGCGGGAAUACGUAGGUGGCAAGCGUUGUCCGGAAUUAUUGGGCGUAAAGGGCUCGCAGGCGGUUUCUUAAGUCUGAUGUGAAAGCCCCCGGCUCAACCGGGGAGGGUCAUUGGAAACUGGGAAACUUGAGUGCAGAAGAGGAGAGUGGAAUUCCACGUGUAGCGGUGAAAUGCGUAGAGAUGUGGAGGAACACCAGUGGCGAAGGCGACUCUCUGGUCUGUAACUGACGCUGAGGAGCGAAAGUGUGGGGAGCGAACAGGAUUAGAUACCCGUGUAGUCCCUGUCUCUUAUAC